Molecule: ribosomal RNA, 371 nt
Filed under: uncultured bacterium
Lineage: Bacteria
Description: bacterial SSU rRNA
Rfam family: Bacterial small subunit ribosomal RNA
Source: RNAcentral
ACAGAGGGUGCGAGCGUUAAUCGGAAUUACUGGGCGUAAAGCGUGCGUAGACGGUUCUGUAAGUCGGAUGUGAAAUCCCCGGGCUCAACCUGGGAAUUGCAUUCGAAACUGCCGAGCUAGGGUGCGGUAGAGGGAAGCGGGAUUUCCGGUGUAGCGGUGAAAUGCGUAGAUAUCGGAAGGAACAUCAGUGGCGAAAGCGGCUUCCUGGACCAGCACCGACGUUCAGGCACGAAAGCGUGGGGAGCAAACAGGAUUAGAUACCCUGGUAGUCCACGCCAUAAACGAUGAGGACUAGACGUUGGGGGCUAUAAGCUCUCAGUGUCGUAGCGAACGCGCUAAGUCCUCCGCCUGGGGAGUACGGCCGCAAGGUU